GACGAACGCUGGCGGCGUGCUUAACACAUGCAAGUCGAACGGAAAGGCCCUGCUUUUGUGGGGUGCUCGAGUGGCGAACGGGUGAGUAACACGUGAGUAACCUGCCCUUGACUUUGGGAUAACUUCAGGAAACUGGGGCUAAUAUCGGAUAGGAGCUCCUGCUGCAUGGUGGGGGUUGGAAAGUUUCGGCGGUUGGGGCUGGACUCGCGGCUUAUCAGCUUGUUGGUGGGGUAGUGGCUUACCAAGGCUUUGACGGGUAGCCGGCCUGAGAGGGUGACCGGCCACAAUGGGACUGAGAUACGGACCAGACUCCUACGGGAGGCAGCAGUGGGGAAUAUUGCACAAUGGGCGGAAGCCUGAUGAAGCAACGCCGCGGGCGGGAUGACGGCCUUCGGGUUGUAAACCGCUUUCGCCUGUGACGAAGCGUGAGUGACGGUAAUGGGUAAAGAAGCACCGGCUAACUACGUG
RNAcentral lists this ribosomal RNA (468 nucleotides) under uncultured bacterium. RNAcentral describes it as "partial 16S ribosomal RNA". It matches the Rfam family "Bacterial small subunit ribosomal RNA", at positions 28 to 507 of the family's 1533-position model. The record is from RNAcentral.